This 460-nucleotide ribosomal RNA is filed under the name uncultured bacterium. Its description in RNAcentral is "partial 16S ribosomal RNA". It matches the Rfam family "Bacterial small subunit ribosomal RNA", at positions 338 to 795 of the family's 1533-position model. The record is from RNAcentral.
CCUACGUGUGGCAGCAGUGAGGAAUAUUGGUCAAUGGGCGAGAGCCUGAACCAGCCAAGUCGCGUGAGGGAUGACGGUCCUAUGGAUUGUACACCUCUUUUGUCGGGGAGCAAAAAGGCCUCGUGAUGGCAGAAGUGAGAGUACCCGAAGAAAAAGCAUCGGCUAACUCCGUGCCAGCAGCCGCGGUAAUACGGAGGAUGCGAGCGUUAUUCGGAUUUAUUGGGUUUAAAGGGUGCGUAGGCGGAUUUUUAAGUCAGCGGUAAAAUUUCGGGGCUAAACCCGGGCCUGCCGUUGAAACUGGGGUUCUUGAGUGGGCGAGAAGUAUGCGGAAUGCGUGGUGUAGCGGUGAAAUGCAUAGAUAUCACGCAGAACUCCGAUUGCGAAGGCAGCAUACCGGCGCCCAACUGACGCUGAGGCACGAAAGCGUGGGGAUCGAACAGGAUUAGAUACCCGGGUAGUC